Molecule: ribosomal RNA, 252 nt
Filed under: uncultured bacterium
Lineage: Bacteria
Description: partial 16S ribosomal RNA
Rfam family: Bacterial small subunit ribosomal RNA
Source: RNAcentral
UACGAAGGGGGCUAGCGUUGCUCGGAAUCACUGGGCGUAAGCGCACGUAGGCGGAUUGCUAAGUCAGGGGUGAAAUCCUGGAGCUCAACUCCAGAACUGCCUUUGAUACUGGCGGUCUCGAGUCCGGGAGAGGUGAGUGGAACUGCGAGUGUAGAGGUGAAAUUCGUAGAUAUUCGCAAGAACACCAGUGGCGAAGGCGGCUCACUGGCCCGGUACUGACGCUGAGGUGCGAAAGCGUGGGGAGCAAACAGG